This 1000-nucleotide ribosomal RNA is filed under the name Salmonella enterica subsp. enterica serovar Chester. RNAcentral's name for it is "partial 23S ribosomal RNA". It matches the Rfam family "Bacterial large subunit ribosomal RNA", at positions 153 to 1191 of the family's 2925-position model. Lineage: Bacteria; Pseudomonadati; Pseudomonadota; Gammaproteobacteria; Enterobacterales; Enterobacteriaceae. The record is from RNAcentral.
AUUAACUGAAUCCAUAGGUUAAUGAGGCGAACCGGGGGAACUGAAACAUCUAAGUACCCCGAGGAAAAGAAAUCAACCGAGAUUCCCCCAGUAGCGGCGAGCGAACGGGGAGGAGCCCAGAGCCUGAAUCAGCAUGUGUGUUAGUGGAAGCGUCUGGAAAGGCGCGCGAUACAGGGUGACAGCCCCGUACACAAAAGCGCAUGUGCUGUGAGCUCGAUGAGUAGGGCGGGACACGUGGUAUCCUGUCUGAAUAUGGGGGGACCAUCCUCCAAGGCUAAAUACUCCUGACUGACCGAUAGUGAACCAGUACCGUGAGGGAAAGGCGAAAAGAACCCCGGCGAGGGGAGUGAAAAAGAACCUGAAACCGUGUACGUACAAGCAGUGGGAGCACAGGUUUACCUGUGUGACUGCGUACCUUUUGUAUAAUGGGUCAGCGACUUAUAUUCUGUAGCAAGGUUAACCGAAUAGGGGAGCCGGAGGGAAACCGAGUCUUAAUUGGGCGUUAAGUUGCAGGGUAUAGACCCGAAACCCGGUGAUCUAGCCAUGGGCAGGUUGAAGGUUGGGUAACACUAACUGGAGGACCGAACCGACUAAUGUUGAAAAAUUAGCGGAUGACCUGUGGCUGGGGGUGAAAGGCCAAUCAAACCGGGAGAUAGCUGGUUCUCCCCGAAAGCUAUUUAGGUAGCGCCUCGUGAAUUCAUCUCCGGGGGUAGAGCACUGUUUCGGCUAGGGGGCCAUCCCGGCUUACCAACCCGAUGCAAACUGCGAAUACCGGAGAAUGUUAUCACGGGAGACACACGGCGGGUGCUAACGUCCGUCGUGAAGAGGGAAACAACCCAGACCGCCAGCUAAGGUCCCAAAGUCAUGGUUAAGUGGGAAACGAUGUGGGAAGGCCCAGACAGCCAGGAUGUUGGCUUAGAAGCAGCCAUCAUUUAAAGAAAGCGUAAUAGCUCACUGGUCGAGUCGGCCUGCGCGGAAGAUGUAACGGGGCUAAACCAUG